CCUACGGGCGGCAGCAGUAGGGAAUAUUGCUCAAUGGGGGAAACCCUGAAGCAGCAACGCCGCGUGAGUGAAGAAGUAUUUCGGUAUGUAAAGCUCUGUCAGCUGGGAAGAAAGAAAUGACGGUACCUGACCAAGAAGCCCCGGCUAACUACGUGCCAGGAGCCGCGGUAAUACGUAGGGGGCAAGCGUUAACCGGAAUUACUGGGUGUAAAGGGAGCGUAGACGGUUAAGUAAGUCUGGAGUGAAAGGCCGGGGCCCAACCCCGGGACUGCUCUGGAAACUAUUGAACUUGAGUGCAGGGGAGGUAAGCGGAAUUCCUAGUGUAGCGGUGAAAUGCGUAGAUAUUAGGAGGAACACCAGUGGCGAAGGCAGCUUACUGGACUGUAACUGACGUUGAGGCUCGAAAGCGUGGGGAGCAAACAGGAUUAGAUACCCCAGUAGUC
Molecule: ribosomal RNA, 443 nt
Filed under: uncultured bacterium
Lineage: Bacteria
Description: partial 16S ribosomal RNA
Rfam family: Bacterial small subunit ribosomal RNA
Source: RNAcentral